Molecule: transfer-messenger RNA, 401 nt
Filed under: Candidatus Saccharimonadota bacterium
Lineage: Bacteria; Candidatus Saccharimonadota
Rfam family: transfer-messenger RNA
About the family: Bacterial tmRNA, also known as 10Sa RNA or SsrA, is named for its dual tRNA and mRNA-like properties. Its role is to liberate the mRNA from a stalled ribosome.
Source: RNAcentral
GGGGCUGAAUUUAGCUCGACGUUUGGACUUUAACAGAUUUAGAUGGCAGGCCGGGUCGAUCUGCACGUUAGCCGGAUCAUCAAUAUAGAUGCCAAAACAUCUAUCCGCGAAAAGUUGGCUAUGUUGAAUCCUUGCAACCAGCUGGCUUUCGCAACAGUUCGCGCUUAAUAUCCGCGGACCGUGCUGACUUACAACGCCAGAUAGUAAGUUAGCGCGUCAUAUCAUCUGGUUGCUCUAAACUUUAGUGGCCCACUGGAGUUUAGCUAAGACUGCCGGGCAACAAACCGGUUCGCUUUUGGCCGUUUUUAUGGAUCGGUUUGUAUAAGUUUAAGCGGCCUAAGCCUGUAGUCAUCGGAUUUGUUACCAAUCGGACGCGGGUUCAUUGCCCGCCAGCUCCACCA